CCUACGGGUGACAGCAGUGGGGAAUAUUGCACAAUGGGGGAAACCCUGAUGCAGCGACGCCGCGUGAGUGAAGAAGUAUUUCGGUACGUAAAGCUCUAUCAGCAGGGAAGAAAAUGACGGUACCUGACUAAGAAGCCUCGGCUAACUACGUGCCAGCAGCCGCGGUAAUACGUAGGGGGCAAGCGUUAUCCGGAUUUACUGGGUGUAAAGGGAGCGUAGACGGCAGCGCAAGUCUGGAGUGAAAUCCCAUGGCUUAACCAUGGAACUGCUUUGGAAACUGUGCAGCUAGAGUGCAGGAGAGGUAAGCGGAAUUCCUAGGGUAGCGGUGAAAUGCGUAGAUAUUAGGAGGAACACCAGUGGCGAAGGCGGCUUACUGGACUGUAACUGACGUUGAGGCUCGAAAGCGUGGGGAGCAAACAGGAUUAGAUACCCGAGUAGUC
Molecule: ribosomal RNA, 440 nt
Filed under: uncultured bacterium
Lineage: Bacteria
Description: partial 16S ribosomal RNA
Rfam family: Bacterial small subunit ribosomal RNA
Source: RNAcentral